GGGGGUGCUAUACAUGCAAGUCGAGCGGACAGAUGGGAGCUUGCUCCCUGAUGUUAGCGGCGGACGGGUGAGUAACACGUGGGUAACCUGCCUGUAAGACUGGGAUAACUCCGGGAAACCGGGGCUAAUACCGGAUGGUUGUUUGAACCGCAUGGUUCAGACAUAAAAGGUGGCUUCGGCUACCACUUACAGAUGGACCCGCGGCGCAUUAGCUAGUUGGUGAGGUAACGGCUCACCAAGGCAACGAUGCGUAGCCGACCUGAGAGGGUGAUCGGCCACACUGGGACUGAGACACGGCCCAGACUCCUACGGGAGGCAGCAGUAGGGAAUCUUCCGCAAUGGACGAAAGUCUGACGGAGCAACGCCGCGUGAGUGAUGAAGGUUUUCGGAUCGUAAAGCUCUGUUGUUAGGGAAGAACAAGUGCCGUUCAAAUAGGGCGGCACCUUGACGGUACCUAACCAGAAAGCCACGGCUAACUACGUGCCAGCAGCCGCGGUAAUACGUAGGUGGCAAGCGUUGUCCGGAAUUAUUGGGCGUAAAGGGCUCGCAGGCGGUUUCUUAAGUCUGAUGUGAAAGCCCCCGGCUCAACCGGGGAGGGUCAUUGGAAACUGGGGAACUUGAGUGCAGAAGAGGAGAGUGGAAUUCCACGUGUAGCGGUGAAAUGCGUAGAGAUGUGGAGGAACACCAGUGGCGAAGGCGACUCUCUGGUCUGUAACUGACGCUGAGGAGCGAAAGCGUGGGGAGCGAACAGGAUUAGAUACCCUGGUAGUCCACGCCGUAAACGAUGAGUGCUAAGUGUUAGGGGGUUUCCGCCCCUUAGUGCUGCAGCUAACGCAUUAAGCACUCCGCCUGGGGAGUACGGUCGCAAGACUGAAACUCAAAGGAAUUGACGGGGGCCCGCACAAGCGGUGGAGCAUGUGGUUUAAUUC
Molecule: ribosomal RNA, 929 nt
Filed under: Bacillus amyloliquefaciens
Lineage: Bacteria; Bacillati; Bacillota; Bacilli; Caryophanales; Bacillaceae
Description: bacterial SSU rRNA
Rfam family: Bacterial small subunit ribosomal RNA
Source: RNAcentral